UAAGGAAUAUUGGUCAAUGGGCGGAAGCCUGAACCAGCCAUGCCGCGUGCAGGAAGACGGCCCUACGGGUUGUAAACUGCUUUUAUACGGGAAUAAACCUCGGAUCGUGAUCUGAGCUGAAUGUACUGUAAGAAUAAGGAUCGGCUAACUCCGUGCCAGCAGCCGCGGUAAUACGGAGGAUCCAAGCGUUAUCCGGAUUUAUUGGGUUUAAAGGGUGCGUAGGUGGCCUGUUAAGUCAGGGGUGAAAGACGGUAGCUUAACUAUCGCAGUGCCCUUGAUACUGAUGGGCUUGAAUGAACUAGAGGUAGGCGGAAUGUGACAAGUAGCGGUGAAAUGCAUAGAUAUGUCACAGAACACCAAUUGCGAAGGCAGCUUACUAUGGUUUUAUUGACACUGAGGCACGAAAGCGUGGGGAUCAAACA
This 422-nucleotide ribosomal RNA is filed under the name uncultured Mucilaginibacter sp. RNAcentral's name for it is "bacterial SSU rRNA". It matches the Rfam family "Bacterial small subunit ribosomal RNA", at positions 355 to 774 of the family's 1533-position model. The record is from RNAcentral. Lineage: Bacteria; Pseudomonadati; Bacteroidota; Sphingobacteriia; Sphingobacteriales; Sphingobacteriaceae.